GUGCUUGCUUUGAGAGCACAUACACUAAAAUUGGAACAAUUCAGAGAAGAUGAGCAUGCCCCCCUACACAAAGACAAUACACAAAUUUGUGAAGUGUUCCAUAUCUAA
Molecule: small nuclear RNA, 108 nt
Organism: Macaca fascicularis (crab-eating macaque)
Lineage: Eukaryota; Metazoa; Chordata; Mammalia; Primates; Cercopithecidae
Source: Ensembl